ACGGCUCAGUAACACGUGGCUAACCCACCCUUGAGACGGAGAAAACCCCGGGAAACUGGGGUUAAUCUCCGAUAAGAGAAGACCCCUGGAAUGGGUCUUCUCUCAAAGGGCGCCUAGACCAUGCUUCUAGGCGUUGCUCAAGGACGGGGCCGCGGCCGAUCAGGUUGUUGGUGAGGCAACGGCUCACCAAGCCUAUAACCGGUACGGGCCGUGAGAGCGGGAGCCCGGAGAUGGGCACUGAGACAAGGGCCCAGGCCCUACGGGGCGCAGCAGUUGCGAAGACUCCGCAAUGCACGAAAGUGUGACGGGGCUACCCCGAGUGCCGUCCGCUGAGGGCGGCUUUUCCCCGGUGUAAGGAGCCGGGGGAAUAAGGAGAGGGCAAGUCUGGUGUCAGCCGCCGCGGUAAUACCAGCUCUCCGAGUGGUAGGGAUGAUUAUUGGGCUUAAAGCGUCCGUAGCCGGCCCGGCAAGUCUUCCGUUAAAUCCAACGAUUCAAUCGUUGGACUGCAGGAGAUACUGUUGGGCUAGGGGGCGGGAGAGGCCGACGGUAUUCUCGGGGUAGGGGUAAAAUCCUAUAAUCCCGGGAGGACCACCAGUGGCGAAGGCGGUCGGCUAGAACGCGCUCGACGGUGAGGGACGAAAGCUGGGGGAGCGAACCGGAUUAGAUACCCGGGUAGUCCCAGCUGUAAACGAUGCGGGCUAGGUGUUGGGGCGGCUACGGGCCGCUUCAGUGCCGCAGGGAAACCAUUAAGCCCGCCGCCUGGGGAGUACGGCCGCAAGGCUGAAACUUAAAGGAAUUGGCGGGGGAG
RNAcentral lists this ribosomal RNA (808 nucleotides) under uncultured archaeon. RNAcentral's name for it is "bacterial SSU rRNA". It matches the Rfam family "Archaeal small subunit ribosomal RNA", at positions 85 to 876 of the family's 1478-position model. The record is from RNAcentral.